This is a long non-coding RNA of Homo sapiens (human), 761 nucleotides long. The record is from Ensembl. NCBI's taxonomy places the organism in Eukaryota, Metazoa, Chordata, Mammalia, Primates, Hominidae.
GGAGGACCGGAACAACGGACCUGAUGGACGUGCUCCCACUUCCGCCGGGGUGGUAGACUAGGGGUCAGCCUGUGUCUCCACAUAGCUGGUGGGGCCUACACGCGCCAACUGUGCUGUGCAGCCCCCGGGCCUUCAGGACAACACAGCCACGCAGGGCAUCCUCAAGAACAUCAGUGAUUUGUCCAAGAUCCUAGAGCUGAGAGAGAAUCGUUGGGCCCCAAAUCCCGUGCUUUUACCUUUGCAUAGCGUUUAUGAUCGAAAAGCCCUUUUUAUGAGCCAGGUGGUAGAUGUGGGGCCCAGUUUCGAACAACAGAUAGUGAGAAUGCAUGAGUUAAGACGUGUAAAGCCCUCAGUGGACUGCUUUGAUCUAGUAAUGUCAGCAGAUAGUAUUUUAUGGAUGUGUGGAACUUAAUUGGGAGAUAAAUGCAAUACACACUUAGUGGGAAUUAAAGACCGGAAGAUCAUCUUAUAGUGUCACCUAAAUUCAGCAAAACAUACAAAACCAUCUAUCCUGUGUGGGAGACCAGAAUAUACCUUCUCAAAUAUGAAGGAUUGCUGCCCUGAAGACAAGAACCAGCAGAUGCAGGAGAGCUGUCCACCUGCCCUCUUUUUACCCAGAAGCAAGACAUAGAUUAGAAAGAGAAAAGGUAUCCUGCCCCACUCCUUUACCAGGGAGAACAAAGGUUAACCACUGAAGACAGCGUCAGACCCUCAUUAGCCUUGAAAUGAUAUCAGAGGAAUUAAUAUUAGCUUUUUUUAAA